AGCAACCUGGGUAUUUCUCCUACUCUCUCUAAUUCUUAAGAGUCCUUUUCUUCCCCCUCCUCAGAACAGUAAGGAGAACUUCUCUUGGAACUAUUUCUGCCUGAAUCUGGCAUACACUUCUGGAUUUUUGGCUGAUUUUGACUGCAGACCUGGCAAAACCAGAUGGAAAAAAAGGGUUACUAGACUGACAGCAUGCAGGCAGAUGUUGACUAACACCUUAUUGAAAUCAAGUUAUUCAAAGUUGUGACAUCAUUGUGGACUAUUGGCAUCUUGAAAAGAAAAACAUUCAAUGGCCAUAAUUUGGAUAUGUAUACAAUUUUCACUAUAUCAUUAUGUCAUCCAAGGCUGAAUCAGAAUUAAGAGGUAUGUGGUUGACCACUAAAUGUUCACUGUGAAUGAAGCAAUGUGUAUACCGGCAUCCAAAGG
This is a long non-coding RNA of Diceros bicornis minor, 426 nucleotides long. RefSeq lists it as uncharacterized. The transcript has 3 exons. The record is from RefSeq and is a predicted model, not a curated record. NCBI's taxonomy places the organism in Eukaryota, Metazoa, Chordata, Mammalia, Perissodactyla, Rhinocerotidae.